GAUCCUAUGAUCUAAUGGUAUGAUUUAACUUCUUCAUAGUUAAAGUACGAGUUCAAUUCUCGUUGGGAUUA
Molecule: transfer RNA, 71 nt
Filed under: Candida saraburiensis
Lineage: Eukaryota; Fungi; Ascomycota; Pichiomycetes; Serinales; Debaryomycetaceae
Description: tRNA-Glu
Rfam family: tRNA
About the family: Transfer RNA (tRNA) molecules are approximately 80 nucleotides in length. Their secondary structure includes four short double-helical elements and three loops (D, anti-codon, and T loops). Further hydrogen bonds mediate the characteristic L-shaped molecular structure. tRNAs have two regions of fundamental functional importance: the anti-codon, which is responsible for specific mRNA codon recognition, and the 3' end, to which the tRNAs corresponding amino acid is attached (by aminoacyl-tRNA synthetases). tRNAs cope with the degeneracy of the genetic code in two manners: having more than one tRNA (with a specific anti-codon) for a particular amino acid; and 'wobble' base-pairing, i.e. permitting non-standard base-pairing at the 3rd anti-codon position.
Source: RNAcentral